This 472-nucleotide ribosomal RNA is filed under the name uncultured bacterium. RNAcentral describes it as "partial 16S ribosomal RNA". It matches the Rfam family "Bacterial small subunit ribosomal RNA", at positions 28 to 507 of the family's 1533-position model. The record is from RNAcentral.
GACGAACGCUGGCGGCGUGCUUAACACAUGCAAGUCGAACGCUGAAGCUUGGUGCUUGCACUGGGUGGAUGAGUGGCGAACGGGUGAGUAAUACGUGAGUAACCUGCCCUUGACUCUGGGAUAAGCCUGGGAAACUGGGUCUAAUACUGGAUACGACAUGUCACCGCAUGGUGGUGUGUGGAAAGGGUUUUACUGGUUUUGGAUGGGCUCACGGCCUAUCAGCUUGUUGGUGGGGUAAUGGCUCACCAAGGCGACGACGGGUAGCCGGCCUGAGAGGGUGACCGGCCACACUGGGACUGAGACACAGCCCAGACUCCUACGGGAGGCAGCAGUGGGGAAUAUUGCACAAUGGGCGGAAGCCUGAUGCAGCGACGCCGCGUGAGGGAUGACGGCCUUCGGGUUGUAAACCUCUUUCAGCACGGAAGAAGCGAAAGUGACGGUACGUGCAGAAGAAGCGCCGGCUAACUACGUG